CCGUCGACAGGAAAGUAAUCGAGAAAUUGCUCAAAAUUACAUCCUGCAAAGUGACAGCAGUGGAUAGUGGGAGUAGAGCUCUGCAAUUCUUAGGAUUGGACAAGGAAGAGAGUUCUGUUGGGUUUGAUGGUUUGAAGGUGGAUAUGAUAAUCACAGAUUAUUGCAUGCCUGGAAUGACUGGCUAUGAAUUGCU
Molecule: long non-coding RNA, 193 nt
Organism: Ipomoea nil (Japanese morning glory)
Lineage: Eukaryota; Viridiplantae; Streptophyta; Magnoliopsida; Solanales; Convolvulaceae
Exons: 3
Source: RefSeq, a predicted model, not a curated record